AUGGGGCACACACAGUUCUAUGGGGCACACACAGUUCUAUGGGGCACAAACGGUUCCUAUGGGGCAGACACCAUCCCUAUGGGGCAGACACCAGCCCUAUGGGGCACACACAGUUCUAUGGGGCACACACAGUUCUAUGGGGCACAAACGGUUCCUAUGGGGCAGACACCAUUCCUAUGGGGCACAAACACUUCCUAUGGGGUACAAACAGUUCCUAUGGGGCAGACACCAUCCCUAUGGGGCAGACACCAGCCCUAUGGGGCACACACAGUUCUAUGGGGCACACACAGUCCUAUGGGGCACACACAGUCCUAUGGGGCAGACGCCAUCCCUAUGGGUCCCACACUGCCCCCCACGGGUCCCACACAUCUCUAUGGAUCCCACUCUGUCCCUCUGGGUUCCACCUCUCCCCUAUGGGUCCCACCUCCACCCCUAUGGGUGCCACUGCACCCCCAUGGGUCCCACCCCAUUCCUGUGACUUCCACCUCUCCCCUAUGGGUCCCAUCACAUCCCUAUGGGUUCGCCCCAUCCCUAUGGGUCCUAUCACAUCCCUAUGGGUCCCACUCUGUCCCUAUGGGUCCCAUCACAUCCCUAUGGGUCCCACUCUGUCCCUAUGGGUCCCACCCCAUUCCUAUGGGUCCGCCCCAUCCCUCUGGGUCCCAUCACAUCCCUAUGGGUCCGCCCCGUCCCUAUGGGUCCCAUCACAUCCCUAUGGGUCCCACCCCAUUCCUAUGGGUCCCACCUCUCCCCUCUGGGUCCCAUCACAUCCCUAUGGGUCCGCCCCGUCCCUAUGGGUCCCAUCACAUCCCUAUGGGUCCCAUCACAUCCCUAUGGGUCCCACUCUGUCCCUCUGGGUCCCAUCACAUCCCCGUGGGUGCCAGCCCACCCCUACCCGUCCCACCCGCCCCAGGGCGGACACGUCCCGUUGUCAGCCUUGAAGUCGGGCCAGAUCCUCAGCACCUCCCGCGGGUCGUAGUGGUGAACCAUGACGGCGCGGCUGAAGCGGCAGCGCUCGUAGGGCAGCCGCACCAUAUUGAAGGCGCCGGGGGGGCCGUCGGUCACCGCGACCCCCAAGGACUUCAGGCAGAGCCCCACGAAGGCGUCCUCCAUGUUGAACAGCGGCAGCUCCUGCGCCGCGCCGAACGCCGCGACGGCGACGUCGCCGGACAGGACGUAAGCGGGACCGGCGCAAUACGGGGGGUACGUGGGGUGGGGGUAAACCUGGGGGGGCACGAACCAUUUGUAUCUGGGGUCCCGCAGCGGCCCGGUGCCGCGGUAGACGUAACCGAGGGCGAAGCGCCGGCGCGGGGGGCGGCGGGGUUGAAGGAUGCGGCGCACCAGGAAAGCCAGGUUGAGGAAGACGUCGGUGUCGGCCUUCAGCACGUAGCUGGCGGCGCGGCAGUGCCGGGACACCCACUGCAGCCCCAUCAGGGUCUUCAGGGUCAGGUUGUGGUACGUGUCCACGAAGUCCUGCUGCAGGACGUCGCGGUGGACGGAGCUCUCCUCCGCCAACAGCCGGCCCAGCUC
RNAcentral lists this long non-coding RNA (1527 nucleotides) under Chrysolophus pictus (golden pheasant). Its description in RNAcentral is "lncRNA (ENSCPIG00010010689.1)". The record is from RNAcentral. Lineage: Eukaryota; Metazoa; Chordata; Aves; Galliformes; Phasianidae.